This 10196-nucleotide long non-coding RNA is filed under the name Nicotiana tabacum (common tobacco). RNAcentral's name for it is "long non-coding RNA (NTAB_LNC011124)". Lineage: Eukaryota; Viridiplantae; Streptophyta; Magnoliopsida; Solanales; Solanaceae. The record is from RNAcentral.
AAAAAAAAAAACCUUCAUCCUCCUCCAAAACACCAUUAUUUUCAUCCCCAAAAAUGCAGUAAAACCCAGCUGCGAAACAGUUUCAAAACGACCUCCAAGACAGCCCCAAAAUCAUCCCGAAAACCUCCCCAAAACCUCCAUCGAAUCAGCCCCAAAGUGCAGCAAAAUAGCUGUUACAACCCAAAAAUAGCAGCAAAAACAGUCCAAAAUGCCGCUUCAAUAGCACCAAAAAUAAGCCACCUAAACUACCAUAAAACCAUGUGAAACCCCAGCUAAAAUAGCCACAAAAAUGCAGCGAAAAUCAGCUGAAAACAGCCCAGAAAUCAGCUCAAAAACUGCUUAAAAAUCAGUCCAAACACCAUCCUUGAGCUUCGUCAAAGUUUAGGUCGAGUUCGGCGAGGUGAAAGUUUCUGUCCGGCGAGAUUCCGGGCUUGCCGUGGUCAUGCUGUUUUCGGUCUUCAAGGCCCGUAAAAAUCGAGUAUUGAGGUCCGUUUCUUACUUUUAGUCUCAAAAUAUUGUUGAUACUUGUGAUAAAUAAAGUUUUGGUGUUAGCUUCUGUCAUGUCUGCUAGGAUGAAUUAUGUACACAAUCUUGUUCCAUUAAUGAUUUGAUUCAUAUCUUUAUGCUGAGGAAUUCAAUGUUAAUAUUGGUUUUAAGUUUGGGAUUUUAUUUGUUAAUUGAAUAGAUUUAAUUUAGGUUUUGGACUAUCAUAAUCUAAUUUGUUGAUAAUAACGUGGGUCGUGGUUUGGUUGAGUUCAAAUGGGCCGUACGUGGAAUUAGGUAGAAAUGGCGUGGAAUAAUCACUCUUUAACGUGAUAUUUAGUUUUUAUUCAAUAUUUUUAAUGCUGAGCAAAAAUAACAACUAUUCUAUUAAAAUUAAUACGAAAAGACGUUGUUACCCCUUUUUCACGAGUGUUGUGUAAAUAUUAAGGAUAUGGUGUCUUUAAUAUUUACACCACACACAUGAAGUUAAGGACGUCGUGUCCUUAACGUUUACACUGCACAUAUGAAGUUAAGGAUAUGAUGUCCUAAAGUUUAACAAUAGAAGGUGCAAAUACAUGACACUUUGAUCUUAAUAUUUACACAACAUUCAUGAAGUUAAGAACACUAUGUCCUUAAUAUUUACACAACACUCAUAAAGUUAAGGACACUAUGUCCUUAGCAUUUAAACUGCACAUAUGAAGUUAAGGAUAUGAGGUCCUAAAGUUUAACAACAGAAGGUGCAAAUACAAGUUAAGGACAUUAUGUCCUUAAUAUGUACACUGCACGCAUGAAGUUAAGGAUGCCAUGUCCAUAAUAUUUACACUGUAUAUAUGAAGUUAAGGACAUGUGUCCUAAAGUUUAACAACGAAAUGUGCAAUUACAAAAUACUUUAUCCUUAAUAUUUAUACAACAUUCAUGAAGUUAAGGAUACCAUGUCCUUAAUAUUUAUACAGCACCCAUGUCUAGCACAUGGGUAUUUUCGUCCGGGCUGGUAAAAAUUUAAUAAGCACUGGCUAAAGAGUAAAUAUAUUUUAAACAGUGGCUAAAGAGUAAAUAUAUCUCUAAUUAGUGACUAAUUGUGCACUUUUCCCCGGUAUUAGAGAAGCGCAUUUUGGAGAAAAAAUAUUUUGGGUAAUAUCAAAGAAUGAGGCUAAAAGUUUGCUGCUUUAGUUUCCAUUUGUUGGAACCAAGUCAUUAGGCUACAGAAGCAUGAAUUAAGAGGACCGUUAGCUAAGAGCCCGUUUGGACAUAAGAAUUUUUUGAAGUAUUUUUUGAAAAAAAUUCACUUUUUUUUCGAAAUCAUUAUUUGGCCAUAGAAUUUUUAAUUUUCACUUGAAGAUGAAUUUUAAAAAUUUUCGAAAAUUUGAAAAACUCCAAAAAGUUAUUUUUCAAAAUUCCCUCAUAACACUCACAAAAUUUCAAAAACAACCCAAAUUAUAUUUAUGUCCAAAUACAAUUUUAAUUUUCAAAUACUAUUUUCAUUUUUUUUUAUAUUUUACUCUUCUUAUGUCCAAACGCCCACGAAGUUACUUGUUGGGCUAGAGAUGCAAAUUUGAAAGCAAUUGAGCCUAUUGUUAAGUUGAUCUUAAAAGGCUAAUUAAGCUAUGAUUAAUUUUAAGUUAUUUGGGUCAAAAUAAUUUCUAUCACGCGCAAUUUAAUAAGAGCAAAAGGUGACCCAUUUUCUCUAGGGAGAAAGUCCAAAAUUACCCCUCUACUAUGGUAUAUUGUUUAUUUCUGCCGCCCGUUAUACUAUUCGUCCAAUCUAGCCCCUACCGUUAAUCAACCUUUAAAAAUUACCCCUAACCCUAACAGAUCUACACCGUGGCAGCUGGCCACCUCACAAUAUUUUCCAUGUCAGUUGUCAUGUCAGGUGCCAAGUCACUCGACCCCACCAAAUUAAAACUCCACGGACCCUAUUACAUCACCCGUCUCCCAUGCAUUACCCGACCCAAUUUGCUCACCUUUGGGGUUUUUUCUUUUAAAAAAUUUCAAAAGAAUAUCUCCAUACAUAUCCUUAACGAUUUGGUUUCUAAAUUUAUCACGAAGCAACAAUAGAUUGAAAUCAGUUCUUUAAUUGAUUUGCAGCUUCACGACUCAAACAACACCAAAUCUCCAACAAAUACAUCCGAUAAAAAUUUCAGAUUUAAUGAUUCAAUACUCAAAAGAGCUUCAAUGGUGUUUUUAGUUUUUGCUCUUCAAAUUUAAUAGCGAUCUUCAAUUUUAACCUCAACAAAUAUUGCCCCUUCAGAUUUGAAUCUGUCAACUAUCACUUCUUCAAAAUCGCAGAGUUAAUUUUCAUACCCAUCUCACAUGUACUGGUGCUCCCAAAAUCGUCCGAUACACUCGGUUUCAUCACCAACUUUCCUUGAAUCCUAGUCCUUUAGAUGGAUUAUCCACAAUAAUAAUUGGAUGAGAUUUGGAACAACAACCAAAGCAAUGUCUGUUCUGUACAAAUUCAGGUUUAUUUGCAUAUCCAAAGCUUUGAAGCUUGUUCUUUUAUGAUGGGCUUCAAUUUUUUUUCCUAAUUUUUUUAUCACCAAUAACUUCUUCUGCUCAAAUCAGAUUUAUGCCUCACGUCUCCCUUAAAAAACACCGUAACAAAUUUCUAAUUCCAAAGCAAAUGGGUUUUCAAUUUUUUUUAACAAUUAUACCCAAAUAUUGUGAAGAACCGAGAGUAGUUAUGCUUUCUGAUCUCUCUUUCUUCUUUUUAUGGCAUUUUUCGAAAACCAUGAUUGAAAAAAUGUGGAAUCUCACAAACCUAAUUUCUAACCAAGAGAUAUUAUUUUUUCAUUUUAAUUGGAGUGGGAAAUAAAUUAAAGAAAAUUCCUUUUCUUUGAAAAACAAGGAAAAUAAAGAAGUUUUAGAGCAUGGAAUUACUUCUUUUUCGUGAUUGUUGAAUCGAUCAAGUGGUGAAACAUGGAGUUUAAUGGUAAAAGUUGGUAUUUCUUUGUCAAUGGAGAAUGUGAUGGGGUUUUAAUUUGGUGGGGUCGAGUGACUUGGCAGCAGAUACGGAAAAUAUUGAAGGGUCAACUGCCACGGUGUAGAUCCGUUAUGGUUAGGGGCAAUAUUUUAAAAGUUGAUUAACGAUAGGGGCUAGAUUGGACGAAUAGUAUAACGGGUGGCAGAAGUAAACAAUAUAGUAAAUGGGCAAUUUUGGACCUUUUCCCUUUUUUCUAUUGCUCCAUAACUCCUUGCCUCACAAUAAUCUGAAAUUAAUUUUAGGAUUAAUUCAUGAAUGCAAUAGUAUGUUUUAUGCACGCUCUUAAUUAAUAAAAUUAUCGUGAUUAUGUAUAUGUUCGCGUGACAUAAUUACGAGUUCCAAAAUUAAAACCAAGGUAUACGUUCACACAACUUUGGAUGAAACAAUCUUAAUAAUAAUAAAAGUAUUAGUAAUUGUGUACACGCACGCGUGACAUGAUUUUUAAUGCGCCAAAUAAAAUGAGUAAAUGUACGCGUGACUCAUUUGAAGAUAAUUCCGUAACUAUGAAUAAUCAAGCAAUUAAAAGCGGUUUAAGGCAAAAAAUGCAUAAAAUUUUUUACCAACACAAUAAUAUAUAAAAUUUAGUUAAGCCAAAAUUUAGUCAAUAAAAGCGACUAUGGUAGAACCACGAGACUCGGGGAAUGCCUUAAAACUUUUCCCCGGCCAACAGAAUUCUUUACCCGAACUUUGUUUUCGCAGACCAAUAAUAAAAGAAUCAAAUCUUUCCUUGAAUAAGGAUUUAAAUAAAAGGUGACUUGGAACACCCAAAAAUCAAAUUUCAAGUGGCGAUUCUGAACAAUAAAAUAAUUCCUAAUUCAAAAUGUCACUUCAAAUGAAAAAACUUUUUUAACCCACACAAUCCAAAGCAUACAUAUCUUUUGGGCGGUAAAAAAAGGGUGCGACAACUCUGGCGACUCUGUUGGGGAGAACCAGAAUUCGAGCUUGUACAUUGAUUUUAUUUGGCUUUAUUAAAUUUGUAUAUAUUAUGAUUUAUUUGGGCCUAAUGUGCUACUUGUCCGCUUUAUACCACUUUGAUAUUUUUGAACUAUACAUAUAAACUGUUUUCUAACGCACCUCUCUGAGUCUUCUUGAAAUUAAAAUUGGGCAUUUGCUUGACAUAGCCCGCUUUCUUUGAGACAACCGAGGUACUUGCCACCCGGUGAAGAAUUUUAGUCACACAUGUUUUAGGCGGGGAGCACCACCAAACUAAGACGAAAAGCAACACUACCAGUAUGCUGACUCUCCUCGGCUCGAGUUGUCCGCUCGAGUAAGCCAGUCUAGAUACCUUCUCCACUAGGAUUUAAACCUAGGAGAACAAACCUUAUGCCGGAUAUCCCUAGUAGGUUCGCUUUAUUUGCAUCACGUGCAUUUGACUUAGCGAAGCUAGGCACAGGGGUCAGGUCCGUAUAAGACAUGUAUCCUCUUUGAGACCAUCAUGCUCACUUAUGUGCUACUUGCUACAUCAUUUGGAAGGCUUGCUUACAUUGUUGACCGUCUUUAGAAAAUUAGUUGAGCGGAAUUAAAAAAAAAAUUAUUCUUCUAGUUUAGUACAAAUAAUUCUUUUUUGCUAAGAUUUUGUAGUAGUCUGGCGUGAGGUGUAAAGAUUAAUUUUCAUAAAAAUAAAAAAAAAAAUAGUCGGUUUCACCGAACUACGCGGGUCUGAUUCUCACCGGAUGUGAGAUACGUAGGUAACCUUUAUCUGGUCCGGCCCCCAAUUUUUAAAAAUUCAAAAAUAUAUUUUCCUUUAAAUCUAUCCUUGAGACAUCGAAUCGAGAAUUUGUUUUAAAAAAAUAAAAUAAAAAUGAGUUGAAUUCGAAAAUAUUUUUUGUUCUGCUUCAGAAGUUUUUCUUUCAGAAAUUAAAAAGAAAAUUCAGAAUCCAAAAAUAUUUUCGAAAAUUCAAAGGAAAAAUUUCAAAAAUAUUUCUUUUUAGAAGUCUUUCUUUUAAAAAUUCAAAAAAAAAAUUCUUUCUUCUUUAGAAGUAUUUCUUUCAACAANNNNNNNNNNNNNNNNNNNNNNNNNNNNNNNNNNNNNNNNNNNNNNNNNNNNNNNNNNNNNNNNNNNNNNNNNNNNNNNNNNNNNNNNNNNNNNNNNNNNNNNNNNNNNNNNNNNNNNNNNNNNNNNNNNNNNNNNNNNNNNNNNNNNNNNNNNNNNNNNNNNNNNNNNNNNNNNNNNNNNNNNNNNNNNNCCCAAAAAAAAGAAAUCCCAAAAAAUCUAAUUUUUUCCCCUUUGUUAGGAGCUAUCAUGGUCUGAAUUGUAUAAGAGUAAAAAUUAGUUUAUUUACUUUAUUUCUGAUCUUACCUGAACUACGCAACAUCUGAUUUAUGUUCCCACAUCAGGUUCAAUCGAAUGAUUUUGAAAAAAGUGAAAAAAAGAAAAAAAGAGAAAAAGAAAAAAAAAAGAAGAAAGAGAAGAAGAGUGUGUUCAUUUUAACAUGCUUGUUAUUUUGGAAUAAAAGCUAGUUAAAGGUGGUCGGUUUGUUGGUUUGCAAUGGUGAAUCACGAAAAUAAUCCUGGAUCACUCUAUCAUCUUCUCAACCAAGGGAAUAAGCACCACUAUUGUUGAUUCGACUAAGGUCACGAAAAGACAAGUACAUAGUUUGGUGGUGAAAAGAAGAUGCAUAUGUUGGUUGACUUUUACCAAGUUUGAGCAAUAGGACAUGCUUUGUGUGAAACGAUCUGUGAUGAUAGGGACAUGGGAGUUCUUCCAACUAUUUUGGCAAAUUGGUUGCUAUGAAAUUUCUCAUGCCGCCAGUCCUGAAAUCCAAUAACCAAUAUUGGGGAACAGUUUUAUCAAAAAGUCAAAAUUUGAAUGUUGGUUCCAAAGCAAUCAUAUUUAAUUCCGUAGUAAUACUAAUGUGCAAAUGCGUAGCUAAUAUGUCAAGUUUGGUAAUUGGAAAGUCACUCCCCUCCUUGCCGGACAGGAGUCUUGGUAACUUAUUUUGUCAUAAUUUCUAUCUUCUAGAUUAUUUUGAGGUUGUGAUCCAGAUGUUGUUUAUUUGUCCUGUCAUCAAACCUCUCUAUCCUUUAAUCAAUAAAAUAUAACUUUUCAUUUUGUGUCAUUUUAAUCCAUUAUGUUUAAUUCUUCUUGCAUGUCUAGUUCUUUUCACGCCAAUUUUAGUGACAUGACAUGCAUGUAGAGUUUUCAGCUACAUUUUAGAAAGCCUGUCCAAUCUUAAAUUAAAUCCAGGAAACACUUUGAAGAUAAGAAAAAGGUUGAAAGGCUUUGAUGAUAAGCCCGUGUCAAGUUCACAAGGAACCAAAAUAGUUAUAUCCGUAGAGGUUAAAGAUCUUCAUCUCAAUCUAUCAUGGAAAUCCGGCUUAAGCAUAUUUGAAUGGCUUGAAGUUUUGUUGGACUAAUCAAUGAAAAAGGUUUUUUGCCACGACCUGCCAUAAUCUAAUCAUAUCAGGGAAGAUGACCCAAAUCUCCAGAGAACGUGCAUUCCAGGGAAUUUUAAAUAGAUUAGCUGGUACUGAAGUGCAUCAUUUCCCAUCAAGACAAAGACCAAGAAAAGGUGGCUCCAAAUUGUCAAAGGUUAUUUGUUGCAAACAAGAUAUUGACGAUGGAGCUAUACAACUGACAAAACCAAGAAGACAGUCAUGCCCAUCAAUGUCGAACCUGAGAAGAGAUAGAAUGUUUGGCAUUCUUGAGGCUGACAUGCCCUUUUCUGCUACCCAAACACUUUAAAUCCUUCAUCACCCCUUUUGAGCAUGUUUUAUUUUUUUUUGACCCCCCUCUUUUGAAGUAUAGAAUCCAAAAAAAAAUCGAAUAUCCGUGCCAUCAGAAAAUAGGAGUUAGAACAAUUUGAUUAUAUAAAAAAAAAAGGAAAAGAAUAAAGAAAAAUAGAAAGAUGAAAAGAAAAACAACAAAGAAAUAUUUCGUGUUAGUUUGAACUACGUUUGACUUGAUUCCUUUAAAGGAUACGUAGGCCUCUACACUAGUGUUCAGUCUAAGCAAAUCAAAAAUAAAAAUUUUCAAGUAUCUGAAACUGUGGCAGAAGUUUUUUAUGUUUUUAUGAAAAGUCGAUUCCAAGAGUUAUAAAUAUACAACCUUAUCAUGUUGAGUCCAUUUUGAGCCUUAUUGCGACGCUUUCUUUCUAACCAUAUCCAAAAGCCUUCCAAAUAAAGACCUCCCAAUUAGUCUUUAAGAAUGCCAAGGGAAGCAUACAAUAAGCAAUAGUUGUCACACGAGAUAGAACAAUGUCAAGUUGCUCGCACAAAAAAAAAAAAGAAAAAAAAGAUGAAGAGUAAAACACGAUAAUGAAUGAAAAUGAGAGUCUUAUUGGUGAAAACUCUCAUGGGCACUGUAAGGCAAUGGUAAGUAGAGAUAAAUAAAUGAGAGAGGCCGGUUGAUGAAAACCUUUCGGGGCCCUGUUGGUUGAGGGUAAGUUGUGAUUUGAUGCAAAUGAUUGGCACAAAGAGGCCAACUUCAAAGACGAAAGGGAACAACAAGUAUAAAUGGUAGAUUGGCUAGAUAGAUUGGGCCGCUCAGUCCAAAAUGCAUGUCAUGAUCAUUAAAGUUUGGCUGCCAUAUUCAAAGGAGCCCAUUCUUUCUUUCUCUCCCCGUAAAGUGGCAUUUUCAGUUAAAUACUAUUCCUUCUCAGUUUUACAUCGCGUCAUUUUGUCAAUUUGCAUUAUUAUUUUGAGUCAGUCUUUGUUAAGACAAAGGAGAAAUGAUUUCAAAAUCUGUUACCAACUUUCUAACUAUACAAAGCAAGUUCUAUCCUAGCACAUCAAAGAGCACAUACCCAGGAAGCAACAUGCACAAUAACUUAUUGAGGUUAAACAAGAUUUGAGGGUUCAUACAGACGGAAGUUCCAAAGAGAACUUUGCUGGUCUAUUUGCUUAGAAUCCAACAAAGAAAGGGCCACAAAAUUGGUCACCGUUUUCCGGAAGGGCAAAAUAAAGGAUGUGGGGCAUACACGACAUUGACAAAUGCACAAAUCCAAUUGUGAUUUCCUCUGAUAAGCCGAACAAAGUGUUUCGAAGAAAUCUAAAAGGUCACUAAGCAAGACUUGCUUCAUAGGAAAAGUUGAUAGCACCACAGACACAAACUGAUAUCGGGUGCAAGAUAAUCAAGUUUGAUUUUUAAAGGAAAAAACCGCCAAAGUGAGGACUAGCUUGAUAAACAAGAUUCAGCAACACCUUAGACAUUCGGGUAUGAAACAGUCGGGGGCAAUGAUGGAAAGCCAAAAUUUCUAGAAAGCAAUACAGAGUAUCCGAGCAACUCGGUAUCGUGCUGAAAGAAUCAGUUCUUCUUCAGCAAGGUGGCCGCAAAUUCAAACUACUCAGGGCAUCAAAGCCACAAACCGACCAUCACUAUUAAACUCACAAAUCUUUUUUUAUUUGAAGCUGGAAAUAAAGUAGCUUAGAAAUGAAGUUCUCAAAGUAUGAAUGUCACCAAAGGUAAAUUCUUCAAAGUCUCUGCUUUUUAUUUCUAGGCAUGCCCAUAAUUACAUCAUCAGCUAUUUCAUGUUUUAGCAUAAGGUACACCGGUCCUUAGUUGAGAUUCUAUUUUGAUAUAGGGAACACCACUCUCUAGUCGUAUGUUCAGUAUAGGGUGCACCAAUCUCUAGUUGUAUUUUCCAACAUAAGGUACACUAAUCUUUAGUGAGGUUCCAUUUUCAUACAAGGUAUCAUAUCCCCUGGUUACUUUCUCUCUAAGUGAUACAAGGCGCCAUUCCUUGAUUACAUCCUCUCAGCAAUACAGGGUGCCAACUCUUGGUCAUAUUCUAUCUCAGUAAUACAGGGUGCCAAUCCCUAGUUACAUUCUUUCUCACUGAUACAUGGCGCCAACUCUUGAUUAUAUCCCCUCUUAGUGAUAUAGGGCACCAACCCCUAGUUAUAUUCUUUCUCAAUGAUACAGGGUGUCACCCCCUGGUUACAUUCCCUCCAAGUCUUUCAACCUCAUUCGUAGGAGACACACUUCCUAGUUUGAGUUAUUCCAGUAGGAAGCACUUCCUAAUCUAAACCACCAAUCCUAAGAGACGCACUUCCUAGUCCAAGUCUUUCAACCUCACUCGUAGGAGACGCUCUUCCUAGUUUUAGUCAUUCCAAUAGGAGACACACUUCCUAAUCUAAACCACCAUUACUAGGAGAUGCACUUCCUAGUCCAAGUCUUUCAACCUCAUUUGUAGGAGACACACUUCCUAGUUUGAGUCAUUCCAAUAUGAGACACACUUCCUAGUUUGAGUCAUUCCAAUAGGAGACGCACUUGCUAAUCCGAACCUUUAUUCCUAGGAGACACACUUCCUAGUCCGAGUCCUUCAACCUCACUCAUAGGAGACACACUUCCUAGCUUGAGUCAACCGUGUUCAUUUUAAUAGGAGACACACUUCCUAAUAUGAGUCAUUAAUCCUAGGAGACGCAAUUGCUAGUUCAAGUCCUUUAAUCUCACUGUCAUUCCAAUGCUACCCAUGGGAGAUGCACCUCAUAAGUCUAAGUUUUAUCAAUUUUACACCUAAGAUAAGAACAUCUUUUUCGGAGCCUUUAGUUUUAUUUUUGCAUCUUUCAAAUAAAAUAAGCUGAUCUGCAGCUUUACCCAAUAACUCACAAAAACUUUUGUUCGUUUUGUUCGUCUAUGAUGGUUUUUCAGGACCCCACCAUAAAGCACAAAUUGUGACGAUUAAAGCUUGCAGUUUUAGUUCUAGUCAUACAAAAAAAAGGUCUUUUGAUCACAAGAUAAUCGGAGUCAUCUUUGAUAAUGUGUCGGCAACCCGGCUUUCCAAGAAUCAAG